GACAGAGGUGCCGAGCGUUAGGCGGAAUCACUGGGCUUAAAGCGUGUGUAGGCGGAUUUGUAAGUACCUUGUGAAAUCCCCCGGCUCAACCGGGGAACGGCUGGGUAUACUGGCGGUCUUGAGCCACCUAGGGGCGAGCGGAACAAGCGGUGGAGCGGUGAAAUGCGUAGAUAUCGCUUGGAACGCCGACGGUGAAAACAGCUCGCUGGGGGUGUGCUGACGCUGAGACACGAAAGCCAGGGGAGCGAACGGG
Molecule: ribosomal RNA, 253 nt
Filed under: uncultured bacterium
Lineage: Bacteria
Description: partial 16S ribosomal RNA
Rfam family: Bacterial small subunit ribosomal RNA
Source: RNAcentral